GGAGAGGUGCCGGAGUCUGGUCGAACGGGCCUCCCUGCUAAGGAGGUGCUGGGGGUAACCCUGGCCGUGGGUUCAAAUCCCACCCUCUCCG
RNAcentral lists this transfer RNA (91 nucleotides) under Actinomarinicola tropica. It matches the Rfam family "tRNA". From Rfam's summary of the family: Transfer RNA (tRNA) molecules are approximately 80 nucleotides in length. The record is from Rfam by way of RNAcentral. Lineage: Bacteria; Bacillati; Actinomycetota; Acidimicrobiia; Acidimicrobiales; Iamiaceae.